This 212-nucleotide long non-coding RNA is filed under the name Zea mays. Its description in RNAcentral is "long non-coding RNA NONZMAT003848". Lineage: Eukaryota; Viridiplantae; Streptophyta; Magnoliopsida; Poales; Poaceae. The record is from RNAcentral.
CUGGAAGUAAACUUAUCCGAUCAUUCCCAGAAACCGGAGCGACAGCAUUCAAUCGUCAGUUCGUCACCCUCGCAAGUCGCAAGCUGUAGCGAUAUGCACACAACUGGCUCCUGUUGGUACACCGUGUACGGUAGACGACCAUGCACCUCGUGUGGAGACGGCGCGCCGACCAAAUGCACAUCACACCCAUCCGUCCACACGCGAUCCACGGU